RNAcentral lists this ribosomal RNA (1426 nucleotides) under uncultured organism. Its description in RNAcentral is "bacterial SSU rRNA". It matches the Rfam family "Bacterial small subunit ribosomal RNA". The record is from RNAcentral.
GCUGGCGGCGUGGAUUAGACAUGCAAGUCGAACGGGGUUAUUUUACUUGGCAACAAGCGAAAUAAUCUAGUGGCGUACGGGUGCGUAACACGUGAGAAUCUGCCGAGAAGUGGGGGAUAGCUCGUCGAAAGACGAAUUAAUACCGCAUGUGACCGCAAGGUUAAAGAGGGGGAUCGCAAGACCUCUCGCUUCUUGAUGAGCUCGCGGCCUAUCAGCUUGUUGGUGAGGUAAAAGCUCACCAAGGCUAUGACGGGUAGCUGGUCUGAGAGGAUGACCAGCCACACUGGAACUGAGACACGGUCCAGACACCUACGGGUGACAGCAGUCGAGAAUCUUUCACAAUGGGGGAAACCCUGAUGGAGCGACGCCGCGUGGAGGAUGAAGGUCCUAGGAUCGUAAACUCCUGUCAUCAUAGAGCAAGAGUAAGGAUAUUAAUACCAUCCCUGCUUGAUAGUAUAUGAAGAGGAAGGAACGGCUAACUCUGUGCCAGCAGCCGCGGUGAUACAGAGGUUCCAAGCGUUGUUCGGAUUCACUGGGCGUAAAGGGUGCGUAGGGGGCCGGGAAAGUUGAAUGUGAAAGCUCGCCGCUCAACGGCGAAAUUGCAUUCAAAACUAUUCGGCUAGAGGGUCGGAGAGGAAAGCGGAAUUCUUGGAGUAGCGGUGAAAUGCGUAGAUAUCAAGAGGAACGCCAACGGCGAAAGCAGCUUUCUGGAAGACACCUGACCCUGAGGCACGAAGGCUGGGGGAGCAAACAGGAUUAGAUACCCUGGUAGUCCCAGCAGUAAACGGUGUUCACCAGAUGUCGGCGGAUUCGACCCCGCCGGUGUCAAACCUAACGGAUUAAGUGAACCGCCUGAGGAGUACGGUCGCAAGAUUAAAACUUAAAGAAAUUGACGGGGGCCCGCACAAGCGGUGGAGUAUGUGGCUUAAUUCGAUGCAACGCGAAGAACCUUACCUGGCCUUGACAUAUAGAGUUCAGGCAAUGAAAGUUGCCGGCCCGCAAGGGCGAUCUAUACAGGUGCUGCAUGGCUGUCGUCAGCUCGUGUCGUGAGAUGUUGGGUUAAGUCCCGCAACGAGCGCAACCCCUGUGGCUAGUUACAGCUUAGCUGCUCUUUAGCCAGACUGCCCUGUGAAACGGGGAGGAAGGUGGGGAUGACGUCAAGUCUGUAUGGUCCUUACGGCCAGGGCUGCACACGUACUACAAUGCCCAACACAGAGGGACGCAAGACCGCGAGGUGGAGCUAAUCCCAUAAAAUUGGGCCCAGUUCGGAUUGGAGGCUGCAACUCGCCUCCAUGAAGCUGGGAUCGCUAGUAAUGGCGCAUCAGCUACGGCGCCGUGAAUACGUUCCCGGGCCUUGUACACACCGCCCGUCACAUCAUGAAAGCCGGUUGUACCCGAAGUCGCCGAGCCAACCGCAAGGAGGCAG